AAUAGAAUGGCUGAAUUGUAGGCGUAAGAUUGUAAAUCUUAGUAUAGGCAUGGUUAGCCUUUCUAUUA
Molecule: transfer RNA, 68 nt
Filed under: Allopsontus sp. 1 JZ-2014
Lineage: Eukaryota; Metazoa; Arthropoda; Insecta; Archaeognatha; Machilidae
Description: tRNA-Tyr
Source: RNAcentral